RNAcentral lists this ribosomal RNA (496 nucleotides) under uncultured bacterium. RNAcentral's name for it is "partial 16S ribosomal RNA". It matches the Rfam family "Bacterial small subunit ribosomal RNA", at positions 29 to 507 of the family's 1533-position model. The record is from RNAcentral.
AUGAACGCUGGCGGCGUGCCUAAUACAUGCAAGUCGCGCGAACAGACGAGGAGCUUGCUCCUCUGACGUUAGCGGCGGACGGGUGAGUAACACGUGGAUAACCUACCUAUAAGACUGGGAUAACUUCGGGAAACCGGAGCUAAUACCGGAUAAUAUAUUGAACCGCAUGGUUCAAUAGUGAAAGACGGUUUUGCUGUCACUUAUAGAUGGAUCCGCGCCGCAUUAGCUAGUUGGUAAGGUAACGGCUUACCAAGGCAACGAUGCGUAGCCGACCUGAGAGGGUGAUCGGCCCACCGGGAACGGAAGACAGGUCCAGAAUCCUACGGGAGGCAGCAGUAGGGAAUCUUCCGCAAUGGGCGAAAGCCUGACGGAGCAACGCCGCGUGAGUGAUGAAGGUCUUCGGAUCGUAAAACUCUGUUAUUAGGGAAGAACAAAUGUGUAAGUAACUAUGCACGUCUUGACGGUACCUAAUCAGAAAGCCACGGCUAACUACGUG